GAAGCACUGUGUUGUGCCCGUCUUGGUGCGCUGCUGGUGGCUGUCUAACUCUCUCUCUCCCUCAGGCUGGAAUUGUAUGAUUGUGAAGACAUCGCGAACCUUAAAGGUUGAGAAGUGAACGGAUUAUACGGCGAACUGAGACGACGUGAAAAAGGGGAUUGGAAGCGGCAUUGAUGUGAGUACUAAGAGCCAGUCGAAAGUGCCCUGUUUGAUACCUGUGGAGAGAAAAGGAGAGAGAGUGAAUAACACGAGGAGGAAUAGAGCGAACCCUGUACUUACAGUACGCUGUGUCCAGCCCAGAGGUGAGAGCCAUUCAAAGCAAACUAACUGUGCUAUUGUGCCCAAGUUGAUACCUGUGGAGAGAAAAGGAGAGAGAGUGGGUAACACGAGGAGAGACCGAGGAAACCUGUACUUACGCCGCUGCCUGUGGAGAAAGAGAAAGCGAGUGAGCACCCAAGGAACGAACUGUGUGAACCAGUACUUACUGUGAGCUGUAAUCAGCGAAGAGCCGUUGCCUGUGGAGGAAGAGAAAGAGAGUGAGCACCCCGAGAACGAACUGUGUGAACCAGUACUUACCGUGAGCUGUAUUCAGCGAAGAGGAGGAAGAAGGAGGGCGCUACGGAUACCUAAGACUCAGGCCGGGGCCCGAGUCCCACGCCCCGGAUCCCCGUGGCCCCCUUGCUCCCUGACCUCUUCCCGGCCAUAGCCCAUCUGGAGGGCCGAGUCAGAGUUUAGUUUUAAUUGCCCUUUUCCUAUUCCCCAAGCUAUUUUUAAAUAUUUAAAUAAAGAUUGUUUUAUCACUUACUUGUUCUCG
Long non-coding RNA from Cyprinus carpio carpio, 814 nucleotides. NCBI's taxonomy places the organism in Eukaryota, Metazoa, Chordata, Actinopteri, Cypriniformes, Cyprinidae. The record is from Ensembl.